This 1439-nucleotide ribosomal RNA is filed under the name uncultured Ralstonia sp. Its description in RNAcentral is "16S ribosomal RNA". It matches the Rfam family "Bacterial small subunit ribosomal RNA". Lineage: Bacteria; Pseudomonadati; Pseudomonadota; Betaproteobacteria; Burkholderiales; Burkholderiaceae. The record is from RNAcentral.
GUCGAACGGCAGCAUGAUCUAGCUUGCUAGAUUGAUGGCGAGUGGCGAACGGGUGAGUAAUACAUCGGAACGUGCCCUGUAGUGGGGGAUAACUAGUCGAAAGAUUAGCUAAUACCGCAUACGACCUGAGGGUGAAAGUGGGGGACCGCAAGGCCUCAUGCUAUAGGAGCGGCCGAUGUCUGAUUAGCUAGUUGGUGAGGUAAAGGCUCACCAAGGCGACGAUCAGUAGCUGGUCUGAGAGGACGAUCAGCCACACUGGGACUGAGACACGGCCCAGACUCCUACGGGAGGCAGCAGUGGGGAAUUUUGGACAAUGGGGGCAACCCUGAUCCAGCAAUGCCGCGUGUGUGAAGAAGGCCUUCGGGUUGUAAAGCACUUUUGUCCGGAAAGAAAUCGCACUUACUAAUAUUAGGUGUGGAUGACGGUACCGGAAGAAUAAGGACCGGCUAACUACGUGCCAGCAGCCGCGGUAAUACGUAGGGUCCAAGCGUUAAUCGGAAUUACUGGGCGUAAAGCGUGCGCAGGCGGUUGUGCAAGACCGAUGUGAAAUCCCGGGCUUAACCUGGGAAUUGCAUUGGUGACUGCACGGCUAGAGUGUGUCAGAGGGGGGUAGAAUUCCACGUGUAGCAGUGAAAUGCGUAGAGAUGUGGAGGAAUACCGAUGGCGAAGCAGCCCCUGGGAUACACUGACGCUCAUGCACGAANGCGUGGGGNAGCAANCAGGAUNNGAUACCCUGGUAGUCCACGCCCUAAACGAUGUCAACUAGUUGUUGGGGAUUCAUUUCUUAGUAACGUAGCUAACGCGUGAAGUUGACCGCCUGGGGAGUACGGUCGCAAGAUUAAAACUCAAAGGAAUUGACGGGGACCCGCACAAGCGGUGGAUGAUGUGGAUUAAUUCGAUGCAACGCGAAAAACCUUACCUACCCUUGACAUGCCACUAACGAAGCAGAGAUGCAUUAGGUGCUCGAAAGAGAAAGUGGACACAGGUGCUGCAUGGCUGUCGUCAGCUCGUGUCGUGAGAUGUUGGGUUAAGUCCCGCAACGAGCGCAACCCUUGUCUCUAGUUGCUACGAAAGGGCACUCUAGAGAGACUGCCGGUGACAAACCGGAGGAAGGUGGGGAUGACGUCAAGUCCUCAUGGCCCUUAUGGGUAGGGCUUCACACGUCAUACAAUGGUGCAUACAGAGGGUUGCCAAGCCGCGAGGUGGAGCUAAUCCCAGAAAAUGCAUCGUAGUCCGGAUCGUAGUCUGCAACUCGACUACGUGAAGCUGGAAUCGCUAGUAAUCGCGGAUCAGCAUGCCGCGGUGAAUACGUUCCCGGGUCUUGUACACACCGCCCGUCACACCAUGGGAGUGGGUUUUGCCAGAAGUAGUUAGCCUAACCGCAAGGGGGGCGAUUACCACGGCAGGGUUCAUGACUGGGGUGAAGUCGUAACAAGGUA